CUUCCCAAGGAUGACCCAGAGUCCUCCAACCCCCACAUGGAGGUCGACUUCGGUGAGCAGCUAAAGUGCACUCGUCCCAACGACCUCAACCCAUAGUGGUACCAGCAUCUCAAGUUCGUCAUCCCCGACCCCACCACCUUGGGGGCUGGGGGCGCUUGACGUCGAAGUCUGCAACAACGAACGCCUCAGCAGCACCCCAGCCAGCGCCC
This 209-nucleotide long non-coding RNA is filed under the name Elaeis guineensis (African oil palm). Its description in RNAcentral is "long non-coding RNA (EGUI_LNC037948)". The record is from RNAcentral. Lineage: Eukaryota; Viridiplantae; Streptophyta; Magnoliopsida; Arecales; Arecaceae.